ACGCACCAAUUUUUCCUAAUUUUCUCAAAAUCAUGUAUAAUAGAGUUUAUAAUCUUUUCUUGGUUAGAUCUGGUAGUUCCUUAUUCUUCCCACUUCUCAAUUUCCAGCAAAUAUCUGAGGCUAACUUUUUUUCCCCCUCUUACUGCAGGUUAGUUCGAACAAUGGGUUACACUGUUUUUUUCCGAUAGUGCUCCUACAUGGAUACUUCAAGAUUGCUGCAGUUCCCAGCAACACUGGAGAAGGGCCUAGAGAAAAUGAUAGACUUAAAGAAUAGAUUAGGUGGCGUGAUAACUCAGUGCCACCGUUUAUACCAUUCAGCAGGACAACACCAAAGCGUUUCUAUCAGAACAUUUUUCAUGGUUGGUAGUGGCUGGUUCAUUCCAAUGAUUUUUUUUCUUGUUGCAAAAACUCCGUUGCUCCUAAUUCAGAUAGAAUUUGUUCAUGUAGUUCCGUGCCCUUCCUAAUCGUGGAUAGAUUCUAAUGGAUUUUAUAGUUUCAGAGGUGGGUGGCCAAGCUCCGCCCACGGUAGCAGCCCUGUGGCGGAGGGUUUGGAUCCUGGACGGUGGACGUCGUCCUCGCGACCACUUGCAGGGUGCUGCAGGCGCUGGGUGUCCAGCGCAGGUGCACCUCCCUCCUUCUUUUGCGAUGAUUCCGGUUGCAUGUGGUCUCCUGCACAACGUUGAACAUCUGCUCAAGCAGGAGGUGUGGCACAACGGUGGAAGAGGCAGGAACGUGCGUCUGCGGGCUUGCCUGCUUGCCAGUGCCAAACCGUGUGGAUGUCGCUUUCCAUGCAGGUGCCCUCGCUCCGGAAUUGUGCUGCGCGAUUGCCUUGUCAUGAGCACAGCCGGGCCGCAUCGAUUAGUUUGCAUCCAAGAGAAUGGCCGCUUGUCCAGUCUUCUUUGUCGCUUCCUGUACAUCUCCACAAGGUACACCAUGACUACU
Non-coding RNA from Lolium perenne, 942 nucleotides. Lineage: Eukaryota; Viridiplantae; Streptophyta; Magnoliopsida; Poales; Poaceae. The record is from RefSeq and is a predicted model, not a curated record.